Lampris incognitus (smalleye Pacific opah) is the source of this 703-nucleotide long non-coding RNA. RefSeq lists it as uncharacterized. The record is from RefSeq and is a predicted model, not a curated record. Lineage: Eukaryota; Metazoa; Chordata; Actinopteri; Lampriformes; Lampridae. The transcript has 3 exons.
GCAAUGAUAUUCUCCAGAUACUUUCAGCCUCGUUCUUUUGUGGUGGAAGAAACUGUGGAGGAGCAGUUUAUGUUUGCCUCCUUACAGGAAGUUAGCCACAAAAAAGUCACUCCAGACAUGAGGACUCUGUUUGGUGGAAUUUUCAAAGAGGGACUGUGGCCUACUGAGCAAGAAAACAAUGCCUCUCAAAAGGUUCCACCUGGCAGUCACCCACUGUUUGAAGCAAGUCCACAAGCCAGCAUAAAAAAUGGCCGACCAUCCUCCUCCCCUCUGCCACAGAUGUCAUCUCAGAAGAAACGCUUCACCCCAAUAACCUCACAACCACAACCAGAUACAUGUGUAUAAUGAUAACCGCAGCGUUUUUCCACUUCACUGUGACGAGUGGUGCAACCUUUGUACAAAGGGUGUGUUGAGCUGGAAAUGUUAGAAAUGCAAUGUUUUCCUGUGUUUGAAUGCAAACCAGCAAUGCGUUGUAGCGUACUACCAGAAAUAAAGUGGAUCCAAUGGCUAAAAAACAUUUGUGCUGUUGCACCACCACACAGAUGAGCAAAUCUGAUUGAUUUCUUCAAAAAGGUAGCAUUUUAUUUGACGUUUCCAAAUUUAUUAUGAUUUUUUUUUUGUAUUUGUAAAUGUUUAUACUUUUACCAUGAGGCAACGUCUCAACCAUUUGGCAAGAGGCCUAUAUUUUUUAAAAAAACUGCGG